RNAcentral lists this ribosomal RNA (253 nucleotides) under uncultured bacterium. RNAcentral describes it as "partial 16S ribosomal RNA". It matches the Rfam family "Bacterial small subunit ribosomal RNA", at positions 524 to 776 of the family's 1533-position model. The record is from RNAcentral.
UACGAAGGGUGCAAGCGUUGUUCGGAUCGACUGGGCGUAAAGGGCGUGUAGGCGGUCGGCCAAGUCUGAUGUGAAAGCCCGGGGCUCAGCCCCGGAAGUGCGUCGGAAACUAGCUGGCUGGAGCGCGAUAGAGGAGGGUGGAAUUCCUGGUGUAGCGGUGAAAUGCGUAGAUAUCAGGAGGAACACCGGCGGCGAAGGCGGCCCUCUGGAUCGUUGCUGACGCUGAGACGCGAAAGCGUGGGGAGCAAACAGG